RNAcentral lists this ribosomal RNA (305 nucleotides) under uncultured bacterium. Its description in RNAcentral is "bacterial SSU rRNA". It matches the Rfam family "Bacterial small subunit ribosomal RNA", at positions 498 to 800 of the family's 1533-position model. The record is from RNAcentral.
UACCUACGGGAGGCAGCAGCCGCGGUAAUACGUAGGGGGCAAGCGUUAUCCGGAAUCACUGGGUGUAAAGGGAGCGUAGACGGCUGUGCAAGCCUGAAGUGAAAGGCGGGGGCCCAACCCCCGGACUGCUUUGGGAACUGUACGGCUGGAGUGCAGGAGAGGUAAGUGGAAUUCCUAGUGUAGCGGUGAAAUGCGUAGAUAUUAGGAGGAACACCAGUGGCGAAGGCGGCUUACUGGACUGUAACUGACGUUGAGGCUCGAAAGCGUGGGGAGCAAACAGGAUUAGAUACCCGUGUAGUCCCUAC